This 512-nucleotide ribosomal RNA is filed under the name uncultured bacterium. RNAcentral's name for it is "bacterial SSU rRNA". It matches the Rfam family "Bacterial small subunit ribosomal RNA", at positions 28 to 526 of the family's 1533-position model. The record is from RNAcentral.
GACGAACGCUGGCGGCGUGCUUAAUACAUGCAAGUGGAGCGACGAACCCGGGCUUGCCCGGGGGCAAAGCCGCGAACGGGUGAGUAACACGUGGGUAACCUACCCCGAUGACCGGGACAACCCGAGGAAACUCGAGCUAAUACCGGAUGAGCCCGUGUCACAUCAGUGAUACGAGGAAAGGAAGCUUCGGCCUCCGCAUUGGGAUGGGCCCGCGGCCCAUUAGCUUGUUGGUGAGGUAACGGCUCACCAAGGCUUCGAUGGGUAGCUGGUCUGAGAGGACGAUCAGCCACACUGGGACUGAGACACGGCCCAGACUCCUACGGGAGGCAGCAGUAGGGAAUCUUGCGCAAUGCGCGAAAGCGUGACGCAGCAACGCCGCGUGCGGGAAGACGGCCUUCGGGUUGUAAACCGCUUUCAGUUGGGACGAAGCUUCGGCGGUGAAUAGCCGUUCGGAGUGACGGUACCUUCACAAGAAGCCCCGGCUAACUACGUGCCAGCAGCCGCAGUAAGAC